AUUUAAUUAUCUUUUUUUUUUUUUUUUUUUUUUUUUUUUUUCUGGAACAAGCUAAAUUCAAGUUUUCAGUUGCAUUCUUUUACGAUAUAAGUUUUUGGAACCUGGUUUGUAAUAAGAUCAAUCAAAAAAGCUACUUCUUAAGUACUUUCUAUAAAAUUUAUGAUUUUCCAUGGUAACGCUCAACCUCUAUACAAGUUAAGUUGGUAGCCAUGUGAGAUAGUCUUAACAGAAAAAAUUGGAGUUGGAUCUUUAAGAAUUUCUCUUCAGCAGUCCUUUGAUUAUUAAAUGAAAUGUACAUAUUGUAAUAGGCAUCGGGUUGGUGUUUUUUGACUGGAUUGAGAGGAAUGUAGAGUGUUAACGGGGGUUGCAAAUCUAGUGCUAAAUAUGGCAUGAUUUUCAUUGUACUGAUUUUACUCUUUAUUAUUAUUAUUAUUAUUAUUAUUAUUGCUUUGGACUGUAUUUUGAUAUUUUUGUCUAUUUAUGCCGAUAAUCAUUACAAAACUCUUCAAAAUGGUGUGAGAACUACCAAGUUUCGUUUAGGGGUACCGGAAACAAAAAACCAUAUUUAUACAAGUUAAGCAUAGAAUAGAAUACGUGGCUGACAAGCUUAGAAAAAUGUUGGUAAGUUGAUGUUUUUGCUGACCAUGUAGCAAGGCAUAUUCUCCUCAUUUAAAUUAGAAACAUGGUGCUCUGUUUGAUGUUUACGGCUGUUUGAAACAGGGUUAUUGCAGAGUACCUCUCUUGUAAUCUUCCUUAAAAAUUAUUGCCAGAUGAUGUCUAUAUUGCCCUAGGAUGCAAAGAUGUAUCGAGACCAUAUUGACAAUUCUAGCUCAUCCUGUUGCCAAUAUUCUGCUUCCUAGACCUUGCUACCCUCGCUAAGUAGGUCAAGCAGAUUUUUGUAAUCUUGGAGUUAGCUAUUUUGAUCUAUUACCAGAAAAAAGUUGGGAGGCUGAUCUUGAUGCCUGUAAAGUUCUUGUUGAUGUGAAUACUAUUGCUUUGGUUAUCAUCAAUCGUAGAAAUCCCUGUUCAAAUGCUUACUUCUACCAACACACUUGAAGAAUGUAUGGCUUUCCCAUUGUAUAAGCUUUAAUGGAUAUGGUUAAUGCUUACAGUUGUGGUUUUGGCGUCAAGUUGGCUGCUAAUUUCUUGAACCUUAGGAUGCGGAGACUGCAAAAGAGCUUAUGAUCCCUGUGAUUGCAGAUAAAGUUUAUAGCCAUAUAGUAUAUGGAAGUAAUACUUUUGUUCUAAUGGGCGUAUUUGCUUCAACGGUGUCUGUUAUCACUCUCGGAUCUAUCUUAAAGAGUUGGACGGUACCUGGUUGGCUACUUGGUUGGCUUAUUACGAGUGAUCCUACCUGGUCUUUCCAAAAGUUGGAGUAGCAAUUCUAUUUUCUCAAUAAGCUGUUUGAAAAAAUACUAAAUAUGCAUACAGGCCUUCUAGAAGAAUAUAAAUGCUUCCAAUAUGUUGUUAAAUGGGGUGAAAUGGAAAAUUUACUUCUUUAUUUUCUUGCCAGAUUGAUGAGUCAAUCAAGAGCCACCUCGGUAUCUGUCCUCGCCAUGCAACCUUCAUUUAGCUGUGGGGCAGUUCCGAAAGCGUGUUGAGAAAACACCAGAAGAUUUCUUCUUAAGAAUUAACCAUAUACUGAAGGAAGGUUCAGAAAUUUGUUGGAAUAGAAUCAAGAAGUUUCCAUGCAGUUCCGUACCAUAUAAGCCUGAAGGUGAAGUUAAAUCUGUCAUUAUGAGAAGACAUUACUGAUGAUGUAGAAUUCUGUCUCAAGCUACCUAAAGAGGAAUCUGUCAUUGUCCUACCAGAGUAAGCAUGACAUACUUUUUGAUAUCCUUCAAUCGUUUUGCUUACAAUCUGUUUCCAUUUUAUUCCAUUAUGUAUAUCUUUUCUCUUUUUGAUUGGUUCAGAAUAAGCUUUUUGAUACAUUUUUCUUUAGUUUUUUUCCUAGGCUAGCUAGUCAAUGCAUUAAAUGUGAUUCCAUGAUGGUAAAUUUUGAUACAAAAUGCUAACAAGGAAUUUGUUUAGUCUAAUAAAAAUCUUGACUCAGAGGGUAUCAUUGGAAUGAAGGACUGGUUCCCCCUAAAUUUUGGCACUAAGCAUUGACUUGUUGAAGAUAGUUUAGCAAGAAUCAAAGCCUUCUACCAAAGACAUGCAAAAGUUAUACUUUGGCAAGAAUCAAAGCCUUCUACCAAAGACAUGCAAAAGUGUAGUAAGGUUGUUUUUGUGAAUUUGUCAUUCAAAUCACAAGUACAAAGGGUUAUGAUGAAUAGUUAGUUGUUGCUUUUGAUGUUAAUAUGUCAAUUUUUGUUUUUCAAAAUACUCUCUCUUAGUUUUGUCUCACAUGGAUCGAGCUGGACCAUUUUAAAUUGAGUAUUAUAAAAAAUUUAAAAUAGUCUAGUCUAAUCUAAUCUGUUAUUAAGUCAAUAUAUAAAAUCAUUGUAUAGUGUUGGUCUGUCCACAUGUACCAAAACUGAUCUACUUUAGGACUUCAUUUUUUAAAUUUCAGAUCUCACAUUUUGCUAUAGUUUUGGACUCAUAUUUCUGCAAGCUUCCAAAGUUAUCUACCACAAAUAUAUGUAGCAGCUUUUCUGCUUCUUGCUACAGCAAAAUCAAAUUUGAGUUUGAUUUGGUGCUCUAUAUAUGUGAUGAUGAUACAGGACAAUUUAACA
Ziziphus jujuba (common jujube) is the source of this 2675-nucleotide RNA transcript. RefSeq lists it as uncharacterized. The record is from RefSeq and is a predicted model, not a curated record. NCBI's taxonomy places the organism in Eukaryota, Viridiplantae, Streptophyta, Magnoliopsida, Rosales, Rhamnaceae. The transcript has 3 exons.